RNAcentral lists this ribosomal RNA (424 nucleotides) under Campylobacter jejuni. Its description in RNAcentral is "partial 23S ribosomal RNA". It matches the Rfam family "Bacterial large subunit ribosomal RNA", at positions 1 to 444 of the family's 2925-position model. The record is from RNAcentral. Lineage: Bacteria; Pseudomonadati; Campylobacterota; Epsilonproteobacteria; Campylobacterales; Campylobacteraceae.
AAAGGUAAGCUACUAAGAGCGAAUGGUGGAUGCCUUGACUGGUAAAGGCGAUGAAGGACGUACUAGACUGCGAUAAGCUACGGGGAGCUGUCAAGAAGCUUUGAUCCGUAGAUUUCCGAAUGGGGCAACCCAAUGUAUAGAGAUAUACAUUACCUAUAUAGGAGCGAACGAGGGGAAUUGAAACAUCUUAGUACCCUCAGGAAAAGAAAUCAAUAGAGAUUGCGUCAGUAGCGGCGAGCGAAAGCGCAAGAGGGCAAACCCAGUGCUUGCACUGGGGGUUGUAGGACUGCAAUGUGCAAGAGCUGAGUUUAGCAGAACAUUCUGGAAAGUAUAGCCAUAGAGGGUGAUAGUCCCGUAUGCGAAAAACAAAGCUUAGCUAGCAGUAUCCUGAGUAGGGCGGGACACGAGAAAUCCUGUCUGAAUC